RNAcentral lists this transfer RNA (88 nucleotides) under Verrucomicrobiales bacterium. RNAcentral's name for it is "tRNA-Leu". It matches the Rfam family "tRNA". From Rfam's summary of the family: Transfer RNA (tRNA) molecules are approximately 80 nucleotides in length. The record is from RNAcentral. Lineage: Bacteria; Pseudomonadati; Verrucomicrobiota; Verrucomicrobiia; Verrucomicrobiales.
GCCGAUGUGGCGAAAUGGCAGACGCAGGGGACUUAAAAUCCCCUGACCGGAAACGGUCGUGCGGGUUCGAGUCCCGCCAUCGGCACCA